Ruditapes philippinarum (Manila clam) is the source of this 574-nucleotide long non-coding RNA. RefSeq lists it as uncharacterized. The transcript is spliced from 2 exons. Lineage: Eukaryota; Metazoa; Mollusca; Bivalvia; Venerida; Veneridae. The record is from RefSeq and is a predicted model, not a curated record.
CUUAUUUUAUUUUUCAUUAUUUAUUUUUUGUGUUUAUUGUUAUUUUAAUUUAUUUUUUAUUGUUAUUAUUGCUAUUUCUUUUCAUUUUAUCUUUAUUGAUUUUCAGGAUCUUUUGAGGUGUACGUCAACGACAGUUUAAUGUAUUCAAAACUUCGGAACGGCGGUUACCCAUACGAAGAUGACGUAUUGCUUGCAAUCGAGAAAGUCAAGCGAGGACACGAAGUCAAACUUGUUAGGAGCGGAAGGUCCAUUCUCUGUUCGAUUCUUUAGAGAUAAUGACGUCACAGAUACCCUGCACGAGACAUAAUCAUUCCGGAGAAAAAAAAUCAAUAGUUUAUAAAAAAAAAAACUAAGUGUUACAUGAGAUGUACAUAUAUUGACAACAUUUGUGUUAGCAUAGCCUACAAUGACGUUUCACAUCGAAAAUUAAAGUGAUGUGGGACUGAAAAAUGCACGUGCAAACACAGACACUUGGGGUGUAGAGCUCAAGUCACCUUUUAAAUCAAAAUAAAAUGCAUAUUUGUCAAUCCCAGCACAUGUACUUAUCAUAUACAUUAAAAAACUUAAUAUAAGC